AUUCCAAAGUUUAUAAUAUUUUCUUUUAUAAAGUAAAGUAGUGAAAAAAAAAUAUGGCCAAAAUUGUGAUGAAAUCUGCUUCUUUUGUUGCUUUGUUGCUGAUCAUCAUGGUUGCAAAUAGUACUCCCAUUGAGAUGCUUUCUGGUCUGAAACACUGCAACAAAUCUGGUGAAUGUUUCAAAAUUUGUAGAGUUCCAGCCAUUUGUGUUGCACAUCAAUGCAUUUGCCUUAAAGAUUCAAAGAUGUUUGAAAUGGAUGGUGGUGUGAAACCCAAGAAUUGAUGACGUCGGGAUAAAAAUUUAUUCACGCUCGAUGUUUACAUUUAUAUUGCAUUGGGUGUGGGAUAAGUUUUUAGUAUCGUCGAUGUAUCGACUCUUGUCUAUGUAUGUUUCAAUUUCUUAAAUAAAUGUGGACUUCAAAACUAUUAUGUUAA
Long non-coding RNA from Capsicum annuum, 433 nucleotides. RefSeq lists it as uncharacterized. The transcript has 2 exons. The record is from RefSeq and is a predicted model, not a curated record. Lineage: Eukaryota; Viridiplantae; Streptophyta; Magnoliopsida; Solanales; Solanaceae.